Diabrotica virgifera virgifera (western corn rootworm) is the source of this 1313-nucleotide long non-coding RNA. RefSeq lists it as uncharacterized. The record is from RefSeq and is a predicted model, not a curated record. Lineage: Eukaryota; Metazoa; Arthropoda; Insecta; Coleoptera; Chrysomelidae. The transcript has 3 exons.
GAAUUGGAACGUACACAAAAGUUUGGGAGGAUCUAAGGGAUCAAAACCCCCAUAAAAUUUUUAUGGGGUGCACAAAUUUCACCAUAAUUUUUGUUUAAGAUAUUCCUGCCAUAAUACUGUCACAUGUCCAUUUUCAAUAAAAAAUCGCUAAUAGUUUUCGAUAUAAUCGAAAAAAUCGAUUUUCAUUUUGUAAUUUCAAAGGGCUGUAACUUUUUUUAUGUGCAUAUUUGUACUAAGGUAAGUUAGGUUCAUUCGAACUAUUUUUGGUCCCAGAAUAUGUGAUUUAAUUUAUGACCUGUAUUUUUGUUACACCCUGUAUAUACAGCCGAUUACGCACCACCUUAAAAAUUGGGCAUUUUUGAUGUCUCGAAUUUCCUAAACCUGUUGUUGCAUCUAAGUGAUUUUUUUAUAAUAUUCUAGCCUAGGCCCUAGGCUAUAGGUUAAGUACCUCCUUAUGGUUGUCAUGCACGGGGAGCUAUACUGUAAUAUAUAUUAUAUCACAUCGCUCUCUAUAGUAAUGAGUGAGCCUGUACAUACGGAACCAUUUGUUUAAGGUUUAAUACCCCAUAUUUAAGGUGGUGCGUUAAUUUCUUGGAGAAGUGUAUUGUAAUUUAAUGUAAAUAAUGUAAUAUCCAAUAAUUGUAAUUUAAUAUAAGAUGUAAUAUAAGUUCCUUAAAAAAUAUAUUUUUUAUUUCCCACGACAUUAGAUGGAUGUUCGGCAGCAAGACAUUAGACCAAACUGGGACGUCCUAUGAAGGCCCAAUUGACGUCCACCGAACGUCCCUUCGGAUGUUAAGUGGACCUCCAUUGGACGUUUGGCAACGUGGCAUUUGGACCAAAAUUGGACGUCCUGUUAAUGUCCAAUUCACGUCCCCUAGGACGUCCGGUUAAGGUCCAAUUUACUUCCGAUUAAGGUCCAAUUUACGUCCGAUUAAGGUCCCAUUUACGUCCGAUUAAGGUCCAAUUUACGUCCUAUUAAGGUCCAAUUUACGUCCGAUUAAGGUUCAAUUUACGUCCGAUUAAGGUCCAAUUUAUGUCCUAUUAAGGUCCAAUUUACGUCUGAUUAAGGUCCAAUUUACGUCCGAUUAAGGUCCAAUUUACGUCCCCUAGGACGUCCGAUCAAGGUCCAAAUUACGUCCGAUUAAGGUCCAAUAUACGUCCCCUCGGACCUUAGAUGGACGUCCAAUGGACGUUCGGUAGCGCGACAUUUGGACCAAAAUAGGACGUAUAAAGGACGUUCCUCGGACGAAAACGGACGUCCAAUGGACGUCCCUAAAGUCCGUGAAGGACGUCCAUUGGACGUCCUUGUGCUA